This is a long non-coding RNA of Sinocyclocheilus rhinocerous, 202 nucleotides long. RefSeq lists it as uncharacterized. NCBI's taxonomy places the organism in Eukaryota, Metazoa, Chordata, Actinopteri, Cypriniformes, Cyprinidae. The transcript is spliced from 3 exons. The record is from RefSeq and is a predicted model, not a curated record.
AAUGAGAGGAACGGCAGGGCCAAGCUGAUCAUGGUGGAGGAUGGGACUGAACCAGACGCUCUGACUAAAGUUCUUGGGCCCAAAUCCAGCAUCGCCCCAGCAACUCCUGACGAUGAGGAAGUGGACACCUCCAACAAGAAGAAGGCAGGAUUGUACAUGAUUUCAGAUGCCUCUGGCUCCAUGAAAACAUCUGUUGUGGCCC